RNAcentral lists this ribosomal RNA (253 nucleotides) under uncultured bacterium. Its description in RNAcentral is "partial 16S ribosomal RNA". It matches the Rfam family "Bacterial small subunit ribosomal RNA", at positions 524 to 776 of the family's 1533-position model. The record is from RNAcentral.
UACGGAGGGUGCGAGCGUUAUUCGGAAUCACUGGGCGUAAAGCGCGCGUAGGCGGUUUGUUAAGUGGGAUGUGAAAUCCCCGGGCUUAACCUGGGAAUUGCAUUUCAAACUGGCCGACUAGAGUACGGUAGAGGGAGGUAGAAUUUCCUGUGUAGCGGUGAAAUGCGUAGAUAUAGGAAGGAAUACCAGUGGCGAAGGCGGCCUCCUGGAUCGAUACUGACGCUGAGGCGCGAAAGCGUGGGGAGCAAACAGG